CCUUUUUUUAAAGUUGUGGUAUUAUUGGUUCUAUGCUCCCUGGAAUAUUACUGCUUUGUGAAAGUCCAGACUGAACGCAGCGCCCUCUUUGUACCUAGUACGUUAUAAACCUGGGUCUCUCACUACUUGAUAUUUUUGCAUUAGUUAAGACAGAAAUUUGAUAGCUCAGUUAGAGAGGAGGGAAAAUCUGCUGCUAGAAAUGUCUGAACUAAGUGCCAUACUUGUCUGGGUAAGAUUUGGGAAACAUAACCUCUGUACAUAAAAAAAGAAAAAAAAAAUCAGUUAAACAUCACAUAGUAGACAGCCUUAAACGCCAAAAGACAUUUUUGAACUGUACAUUUGAUCAGAUUGUUAGCUUUUUUCUGUUUUAUUUCUUUUGAAAACCUUUGAAUAAAAAACAUCUGAAAUUUUA
This 412-nucleotide long non-coding RNA is filed under the name Bos taurus (domestic cattle). RNAcentral describes it as "long non-coding RNA NONBTAT010962". Lineage: Eukaryota; Metazoa; Chordata; Mammalia; Artiodactyla; Bovidae. The record is from RNAcentral.